Molecule: non-coding RNA, 73 nt
Organism: Stegodyphus mimosarum
Lineage: Eukaryota; Metazoa; Arthropoda; Arachnida; Araneae; Eresidae
Source: Rfam
GCCUUCGUGAUGUAAUGGUCAGCACACUGAGCCGGUAUUUCAGAGGUCCGCGGUUCGAUCCCCGGCGAAGGCA